CAGGAUAUGGAGAAAUGGGGAGUUGUAGUCCUUUAACAGGCCAGCUUAAACUCUGUCAAUUGGCUAAAGAUUCUUAGUACAACUGAUGCACCAGAAAAAAAAAAAAAAGAUUAGCCUUGAAUCUAGCAUACAUUCUUAGUGCUAAUAACAAUGAUGUGCUGAUUAUAUCAUUGCUAUUUACUUUCAGGGUUGUACCUGACAAACUGCGUUCUCUGGCCUUGGGUGUAAGCUAUGUGAUUUUGAGAAUAUUUGGGACUAUUCCUGGACCAUCAAUCUUUAAAAUGUCAGGAGAAACUUCUUGUAUUUUACGGGAUGUUAAUAAAUGUGGACACACAGGACGUUGUUGGAUAUAUAACAAGACAAAAAUGGCUUUCUUAUUGGUAGGAAUAUGUUUUCUUUGCAAACUAUGCACUAUCGUCUUCACUACUAUUGCAUUUUUCAUAUACAAACGUCGUCUAAAUGAGAACACUGACUUCCCAGAUGUAACUGUGAAGAAUCCAAAAGUUAAGAAAAAAGAAGAAACUGACUUGUAACUGGAUCAUCAUUGUAUUCUCCAAGAUUUGUUUCUGUGCCCAACUUUCAGAAGAGGAAAAUCACACAUUAUGUUUACAUAAGUAGCAAAAAUAUAUUUAUGGUGAUCUGCAUUUUCAUAAUAAAGUGUCCUAUUGUGAAACA
Molecule: small RNA, 675 nt
Filed under: Pan troglodytes (chimpanzee)
Lineage: Eukaryota; Metazoa; Chordata; Mammalia; Primates; Hominidae
Description: retained intron
Source: RNAcentral